Oncorhynchus masou masou (cherry salmon) is the source of this 1866-nucleotide long non-coding RNA. RefSeq lists it as uncharacterized. NCBI's taxonomy places the organism in Eukaryota, Metazoa, Chordata, Actinopteri, Salmoniformes, Salmonidae. The transcript has 4 exons. The record is from RefSeq and is a predicted model, not a curated record.
UUUCUCCCGCUCCGAGGCAGCCCUUUUCAAACCGGGAAGCUCCAGGUCAGUUUCCCUUUCCAAGUUUUACGGCCUGCCAUGUUGUCCAUUCUGCUCAGCUAUUUAAAAAAUGUUGAAUAUCAACAAUGGCUUUCACUGGUGUAUUGUCAACUUUUGUAUGAAGCAAUCUUGGCUGAAUGAGAUGGGUCCCAGAGCAGGGAGGGCUUGGCUGCGGCAUGCACCGCAACACCACUGGCGCCUGCCUGGCUCUCUCUCUCUCUCUCUCUGCUGCAGGCAGGAUCAGGGAGGCAGGAGCAGCCGUCCCUCUAGUCCCUGUCUCAGCCCAGCCGCUGGGGUCUGCAUGGGGCUGGGAAAGCCACCCCCUCGUCAGUCCUCUCUGCGAACCCAUCCUCAUCCCAGGUUCCCCUCCCCCUGCCUCUGGCCCUGUCGUCUGGGAGCCCCUGAAGGUGUGACACCUCACACAGGAAUCGGAGAGCAGGAGCCCCGGGGGCCAGUCAGAGCUGGGAAGCCGUGCCAACCCCAUUGGAGAUGUAUGUUUGAAGAUAAUCGUAGGAAAUCCUCCACCCAACCCAGAGAAACCCUCUCCUGGUCAGCAGCAACCCUGGAUUACCCUACUACCUGACAGGAGAGAAGUGAUCCAUGGGGGUUAUCAGCCUGCAAUCCCCACCCCACUCCAGACUCUGGUGCUUGGGUUGGGAAGAGGGGCCUGCACCCCUGUGAUACAUCACUGUCGCUGUGGGAUUCCACAUCUAUCAAAUAAAGGCCAGCUGAUCCCAGGGGAGCAGUUCCCCUUCCAGGAGCGACAGCAGCAGCUCUCCCACCCUCCUCAUCUCAACUCAACACAGCAUCACAGGCCUGGAAGAACCAGUUCAAUCACCAUCUAGAUCACAAUCACCAUUGACUACGGGUCAUCUUGAAUUGAGGAGGCAUUUCAUUUUUCUAGAAUAAAAUAUAUAUAUAUUUGGUUACUUCUUCCCAUUCCAAAUGAACUAAUGACAGCUUAAUUACUUUAAAUAGUUUUUAUCAUUAUGAUAAUAUCAGUGCCACCAGUAGGUGUAGUAACACCAAUGACAGUAACACCAAUGAUAAAUUGGUAAUUGAGGAUUUUCUUAAAUGGAGGCCACAUAUGCUCAAAUCUAAGGUCAUUAACCCUUUAAAGGUAAUUUACAAAAGUUGUGAUUAAUCAUUUUGCUCACAAUUUAAUUUCCCUUAAUUUAAAUUGGCUUACACCAAUUACACUUUUUACUUAGAGACACCAAAUUAUCAAUGGACUCCUCAAAUGUAUGACAUACUAAAAGGGUGUAAAAAGCUAAUAAUUUUCUUUAAAGACCCGAUAACAGUUUGCCACUGCAGGGAAUGCUCAAGGUCCUUGUAUAUAUUUAUAAUGACUGAUUUUCAAGGUGGUAACACCAAUGACAUAAAACGUAGUGAUACAGAACAUAUUAUAUUUGUAAAAAAUAAAAUUAAAAAAAGGUAUUUUUUAUAGCCUUUGUUUUUAUUGAUCUAUACAAUAUAUUAAAUACUCUGUUUACUUUCUAACAAUACAAAUAAUAUAUAGCUAACUUUAAAUCUCCAAAACAUGUCAUUACAACUCAUCAAGUACUUUAAACAAUGCAUGCACAUACAGUUUUGCAUUAAGAAGGACAACAACUAUUUGUCAUUUUAAAGUGUUUUUCAUGGUCUCAAUGGUGAGGGACACAAAUGCCACUGUAAGUCAAGAAUGACCCCUACAGCACAAGGAUGGGAUAGGGUUGCAGGUAUUUGUCUGUUGGUAUGACUUGUAACUUAUGUAUUCAUGUGUACACACACAUACACACACUCACUAUAGUACUGUUGUGGUUGAUGACAAUAAAUUCAUCAGAAGUG